This 231-nucleotide unclassified non-coding RNA is filed under the name Hevea brasiliensis (rubber tree). Lineage: Eukaryota; Viridiplantae; Streptophyta; Magnoliopsida; Malpighiales; Euphorbiaceae. The record is from RNAcentral.
UAGGUCACUGGGUAAUUUUAGCCAAAUUAACUGCUUUUGUAAGGUGAAUCAGGAUUCUCAAAGUUUAGCCUAAGCUACCUAUCAUUCUACUGGAAAUGGCAACUCUGGGAACUUGUAUUCAUGUAUCUUUUCAAAGUACUACACGAUUAAUUGCAUUCUUGGUUAGUGGUAAUGGGACAUAUAGUGGGAAUAUCUUUAUUCAUUUUUAAUGAUAUUAUGGAAUUUGUUAAU